GUGUGUCUCUUCCUUUGCUCACACAGUUCCCCUUCGAAUAUCUGAACCCACCUAUUUCACAUUUAUUUAGCUCUAGGUAGGUGGGCAAUUUAGGAGGGGCUCAGCCAGAUACGCUUCUCCUCUGGGCUUGUUUCUCCCACUUGACUGUUGGCUGAUUGAAAACAACCUCAGCUGGUCUAGCACUGCUGGCUGAGCUGGCUGGGACAACUAGGCAUUUGAGCUCUCCUCUGCUGUCUUCUCUAUGGCUCCUUCAGACUAACUCAGGAGUGUUUUUAUGGCCUGGGGAGAGAAUCAGAGUAAACAGGUCAAUCAUGCAAGAAGGGAAGCAGGAAGCACAAGUGCUUUGCAACCUUCCUCUUGGAUCACAUUUGCUAACAUUCUAUUGACCAAAGCAAAAUGUGAGGCCAAGCUUAGAGGCGGGUGGGGGACUAUACAGUUAUAAACACCAGGCAUGGAUAUGGGGAAGUCAUUUAAUGAGGCCAUUAAUACAACUAAUCUACCACCGUCUGCUCUUUAGCCAACAUUGUUCACAAUCCCUCCUACAUGCUAAAUACAUCCAUCACCUGUAAAGGCCUCUCAAAAUCUUAUCCAAGCAUGGCAUCUGGCUCAAAGCCCAUGAUUUUGUGAUCUGUAUCAGAUUAGAUAUGUCUCUUCUUUAUCUUGAGACUUAUGAGCAACUGGAUUAUUGAUAAUAUAAAUAAAUGUGGCCAAGCUCUCUGGCAAGAGCAAUUACUUCACAACCCUUGCCUGGAUGACAAAAAUUAUAAGAUAGCAUGAACUGUAAGACACAGCCCAAUUUCAGAUAAAGUAAAAUGUGAGGGGAAAGAGUGUCUUAGAAUUGAUAGAAUAUGGUAAGUUUCUGGACUUGAUCUCAAAUAUUAAGAAAUGCCCAUGGAAUGGAAUCUGGGAAUGGAAUGCUCUCAGGCAAGAAACAACUACAGCUGUCCCUCUGUAUCCACAGGGAUUGGUUCCAGGACCUCCCAGGGAUACCAAAAUCCAUGGACGUUCAAGUCCCUUGCAUAAAACAGCAAAGAAUUUGCAUAUGACCUACACACAUCCUCCCAUUUACUUUAAAUCAUCUCUAGAUUACUUAAAAAUACCCAAUAAAUGCUAUGUGAAUAGCUGCCAGCAAGUGGCAAUUCAAGCUUUGCUUUUUGGAAUUUUCUGGAAAAAAAUUUUUUUUUCAGAAUAUCUUUCAUUCACUGUUGGUUGAAUCCAUGGAUGCAGAACCCACAGAUAAGAAAGGUGACUGGAGAGGUCUUUUUCUGUACUCAAUAAAUGGUCUUCAUAUUUCUUAUUUUGUGAUUAUCCCCACUCAUUCAAGAGAAGGAGAAAAAAUCUGCAAGUGUCUAUUUAAAGGAAAAAAUGGUAUGAGAGAGAGGAAGUAAAGAGCAACUUGGCAACGAAUCUACUGUUUUUAAACAAGUCAAUAUUAAACAAACACAUCAAUUUUUACUCUAUUUUUCUCUUUGUAUACAAUUUUCAAUUAAUCUAUACCUGCCUUUCCAAUGUGUUCUUCAAAUGAGCCAUUUCACUAUAAUUUCUGCACUGUUUCAGUAAAUACAUUUGCAUCCUAGCUCUUCUGCAGUGUUGAUUUAAAAUUAAUGACUUGAGAUUACAGUUACUGACAUAAAACCCUUCUCUGUGGGGACAGAAAAGCACAGUAUAAGCAUCUCCCCUCUUUGUCUAUUUCACAGGACAGUUUAAUGCAGAGUUUUAAGGGAUAGAGACAUUGACGCUCCCUGAGCCUCACUGCUCUCCUGAGUUUACUGUGUCACCAUGAAAAGACAUCUGUGUUCUGAUGCUUUUCCUAGAGCCGCACCAAUCCACCCCCUCUCUAUUUUACAGAGCUUGUGAUGCAUGCAUACCAAGACUCUGCAUAUAGAGCAUAAUUAAAACAGGCUUUCCUCCUGGAAGCCAGAAUGUCCUUUCUAUUGCCAGUCCUUAAGACCAGAGGGUGAGGUCUCAGGAUGCUAAUCCCCUUCUGAAGGGUCCAUCUUGCCAUAAUGAAGCCUGAGAAUGCUUAAGAGAUCACCUCCAGUGCACAUCAUUACCAUCUUCAAUACAAGACACUGGAAAUAGGUUUCAGGCAUCCUGUAAGUUUUAAAUAAAUUCCCACAUGAAUUGGAAAUAAAACUUGCCUUUAGACAUGUAGUCAGGAUUUUGACAUAUUCAGUUCAGUUCAGUUCAGUUCAGUCGCUCAGUCAUACCUGACUCUUUGACACCCCAUGAACU
Bos taurus (domestic cattle) is the source of this 2235-nucleotide long non-coding RNA. NCBI's taxonomy places the organism in Eukaryota, Metazoa, Chordata, Mammalia, Artiodactyla, Bovidae. The record is from Ensembl.